This 103-nucleotide small nuclear RNA is filed under the name Myotis brandtii (Brandt's bat). Lineage: Eukaryota; Metazoa; Chordata; Mammalia; Chiroptera; Vespertilionidae. The record is from RNAcentral.
UUGCUUCGGCAGCAUAUCUACUAAAACUGGAGCGAUACAAAGAAGAUUAGCAUGGCUUCUGCGUAAGGAUAACAUGUAAAUUUGUGAAGCAUUCCAUAUUUUU